Molecule: ribosomal RNA, 482 nt
Filed under: uncultured bacterium
Lineage: Bacteria
Description: bacterial SSU rRNA
Rfam family: Bacterial small subunit ribosomal RNA
Source: RNAcentral
CGAACGCUGGCGGCGUGCUUAACACAUGCAAGUCUACGAGAAUAAGGUAGCAAUAUCUUUAGUAAAGUGGCGCACGGGUGAGUAACACGUAAGCAAUCUACCUUUGGGUCUGGAAUAACUUCGAGAAAUCGAGGCUAAUACCGGAUAAUGCAGCGGCACCGCAUGGUGAUGUUGUUAAAGUUUAAGUAAUGCCUAAAGAUGAGCUUGCGUCUGAUUAGCUAGUUGGUAGGGUAAAAGCCUACCAAGGCAACGAUCAGUAGCUGGUCUGAGAGGAUGAUCAGCCACACUGGAACUGAGACACGGUCCAGACUCCUACGGGAGGCAGCAGUGAGGAAUAUUGGGCAAUGCCCGUAAGGGUGACCCAGCAACGCCGCGUGGAGGAUGAAGGCCGUAAGGUUGUAAACUCCUGUUAGAGGAGAAGAAUAGUACCGGUUGGACCGGUAUAUGACUGUACCCUCAGAGAAAGCCCCGGCUAACUACGU